GUCCACGCCGUAAACGAUGGAUACUAGCUGUUGGGAGCGAUCUCAGUGGCUAAGCGAAAGUGAUAAGUAUCCCACCUGGGGAGUACGUUCGCAAGAAUGAAACUCAAAGGAAUUGACGGGGGCCCGCACAAGCGGUGGAGCAUGUGGUUUAAUUCGAUGAUACGCGAGGAACCUUACCAAGGCUUAAAUGUAGAUUGACCGUUUUGGAAACAGAACUUUCGCAAGACAAUUUACAAGGUGCUGCAUGGUUGUCGU
This 255-nucleotide ribosomal RNA is filed under the name uncultured bacterium. RNAcentral's name for it is "partial 16S ribosomal RNA". It matches the Rfam family "Bacterial small subunit ribosomal RNA", at positions 793 to 1055 of the family's 1533-position model. The record is from RNAcentral.